RNAcentral lists this transfer RNA (86 nucleotides) under Clostridia bacterium. RNAcentral describes it as "tRNA-Leu". It matches the Rfam family "tRNA". From Rfam's summary of the family: Transfer RNA (tRNA) molecules are approximately 80 nucleotides in length. Their secondary structure includes four short double-helical elements and three loops (D, anti-codon, and T loops). Further hydrogen bonds mediate the characteristic L-shaped molecular structure. tRNAs have two regions of fundamental functional importance: the anti-codon, which is responsible for specific mRNA codon recognition, and the 3' end, to which the tRNAs corresponding amino acid is attached (by aminoacyl-tRNA synthetases). tRNAs cope with the degeneracy of the genetic code in two manners: having more than one tRNA (with a specific anti-codon) for a particular amino acid; and 'wobble' base-pairing, i.e. permitting non-standard base-pairing at the 3rd anti-codon position. Lineage: Bacteria; Bacillati; Bacillota; Clostridia. The record is from RNAcentral.
GCAGAAGUGGUGGAAUCGGCAGACACGCUAUCUUGAGGGGGUAGUGACCACAAGUCGUACGGGUUCAAGUCCCGUCUUCUGCACCA